This is a long non-coding RNA of Oncorhynchus tshawytscha (Chinook salmon), 1752 nucleotides long. Lineage: Eukaryota; Metazoa; Chordata; Actinopteri; Salmoniformes; Salmonidae. The record is from Ensembl.
CGCUUGCUCACAUCGAGGCUGGCUUCUCACUGGAAGCCUCGAGCUGCAUUCCUCUCCAUUCACAGGAAGGGAGCCGGCGUGUUGAGCGCACUAGUAGUCCGUGACGAGUGAAAAUGUCCUUAAGUUUUGGAAUUUAAUCAUGGCAUGGAUAUCUAACCCAAGGAUCACUUGAAUUUUGGCUGAACCCUGCGCUCCGUUGGAUCCCAGAGAUCCUGCCCCUGUUGUGUAAACCGCAACGAGAGUUUGUCACGAGCCAGACAGUGGCAAAACAAAGAUGGUGCUAGACAGUGAACAGCAGCUGGCCACACUUGUUCCGUGUGCAGGGAUUUGCACGGAGAAACACAAGAAGAAAAGACUACGAAUUUGGGUGAGGCCAUGGUUGGGGAGACGUGGCCAGUUUGGGUGGUCUGUACUGCAGAGAGAGUUGGAGAGGCAUGAUAGGAUGUGUUUCAGCAAGAUUCUGCAGAUGACCUCCGUCAAAUUAGAUUUCCUGCUGGGUAUGACGGGAUCCCUCAUCAGAAAGCAGGACACCCAAGAUGAGACAGGCAAUCACUGUGAAACGUUCAAAUCCCAAUACAGGAUUGGGAACACCACUGUGUCCAAUAUUGUUAUGGAGACAUGUGAAGCCCUGCAUCAGGUCAUGAAGGAAGAAUUCCUGAAGGUGUGGCUUUUCACCACAGAGGACUGUAGGUAUAAAGCUGUAUUUUGAAUCCCAAAACACAAACAUAUUUUUUCCAUUUCACUAAUACACUGUAUGUACCAAUUAUUCUCCUCUUGAUUAUUCUCAGACACCAGCAUCGGAGGCUGAAUGGCAGGCAAUUACCAAAUAUUUAGAAGAGAAAUGGCAGUUUCCGCAUUGCCUUGGUGCCCUUGAGUUUUUCAUACAACCCCCUAGCCAACAAUGGCAGUAUGUGUCACUACUACAUGUCUAGGUUCCCCAUCCUCAUGAUGGCUGCUGCGGAUGCAAACUAUGAGUUUAUGUUAUGCCAGUGUGGGCACCCGGAGCACAAUCUCCAAUGCUGGGCUGUUUUCUCACUCUGACUGCAGAAAAGCAAUGGACUGGGGCCUUCUAAAUGUUCUGCCACCUGAGCCACUAACUCAAAUGUUGUGGUUCUGUACAUGUUUGUGGGGGAUGAGGCGUACCCCCUGUGGACUGACCUGAUAAAGCCCUAUCCAUAUCGACAGAUGGACCACGACCAGAGAAGCCGCAACUAUCGCCUCAAGGGCAUGGCGAGUAGUUGAAAAUGCCUUUGGCAUCCUCGCUAACAGGCUGAGGUUGUUUAGGUCCACCAUUUGCCGUGAACCAGACAAGGUUACGAAGAUCACCAUGGCCUUCCUCUGCGUACACAACUUCCUCAUAGAGCGUAGGUCUGAGGCGUACACGCCACCAGCGUUUGCAGACUGGGAAGAUGCUGACCACUGGAUCAUCGAGGGAGCCUGGAGGAGACAUGGACUGUGGAGCCUGGAAGGGGAUGUUAACCCCACAAUCAGUGCAAAAGAGCAACGCAACCUGCUAAGGGAUUAUUUUGUAUCACCUGCAAGUCAGGUUCCAUGGCUGGAGGAUCACAUUUAAGUAAGUCAUGGACGCAAGGGCUGUUCAUAUUCUGUUGGAAGGUAGCCAUGCUUUACUGUGUGUAGCCUAAUGUCUAAGAAUGUAUGUAGUUACCACUAUUGAGUCUUGACUGACAAAUGUGAUGACAGCUGUACUUUCUUUUUCAAUACAGUAAUUGAAAUAAAGUUAUAUAAAAGGCA